Long non-coding RNA from Larimichthys crocea (large yellow croaker), 1148 nucleotides. RefSeq lists it as uncharacterized. The transcript is spliced from 4 exons. The record is from RefSeq and is a predicted model, not a curated record. Lineage: Eukaryota; Metazoa; Chordata; Actinopteri; Sciaenidae.
UCAUUAUAACAUUUCACACAGUACAACCAAAGUCGUGUUUAUCUCCACCUGUUCACUAGCAUUAAGACUGUGAGAGAUUUACUUCAAAUGUGAAAAUCUACACAGAAGGUCAGAUCUAAGCAGAGCUGUGCUACAACAUAUAACAUGCUCUCACACACACUCGUGCUACAAGUCUUAAAGUGCUUUUGGAUGCAUUCAGUGUGCUUGAGUAGUCUAACGUGGGGAUUUUGAGCCAACCUGUGUCAUGACGAUGAAACGGUUCGUUUGUUAUUUCCACCAAAAGAUAAAGGAAGUGGUCUCCCCAUCACAAGAUGACAACAGAUGAGUGUAGUGUGCGUAGGUCUGCCUAUACUGUAGAGAGUCACCUCAACAGCACUGUUGUCUUCUACAGUAGAUGUCAUAUUGGUGUGAAAGUCAGUGCAGAGAGUUUCUUUAUUGAAGUUCCUGAAAUCAUGUAUGCAGCUGCAAGAAAUGUGUAUGGAGAGGUCGUGGUAGGCACCAGUCCCUCUUGUCCACUCACUUGUUCCCUGUGAAAGUGCUAACAUACCUUAUAUGCCAUGUUUUUUUUUUUCUACAAAUAACAGACCAACUAUUCUAACUACUCAUUCCUCCAUAGUGGAUGUUUGCACAAUGGGAGACAGGGCAGAGCUACUGAAAGAAAUUUAGAUCGUGUCCCGAGACAGCGGAUGACAAUCCACGUAAUAAACCAUCCAGUGAGGAACGAUUCAACAUCUAUCACUUCACGUCACAGCACUCUGACAAGAAGCCAGCAGAACACAAAAGUCAUAUACUUUACUGAUCUGCAUUCAGAAAAGAAAAAUCGGACUUAGUCAUCUAUCCAAAGAACCCGCCUGCACUGAUUGUCUGACCUCUUGAAACAAGCCAACACAGCAUUCGCACCAUCACUGCAGAAAACUGACAGGGAUGUUGUGUGCUCUUGGUAUCCAGAAGUGGUGCAAUGAAGUUGUCUGCCACUGUCUUUCGUCUGACUGGUUUGGGUUUUUCAGGCUUGGUGUUAUUUUCCAGACGUGUCAUGCUGGAGAUAUUGAAAUUGUUCCCAGGCAGCUGUCUUACCUUGAAUGGCUGAGGAAGAGGAUUUGAACUUGGGAUCCAUUUAAUCUUCUUGCGGGGUCGUUUGAUGACCAGCG